This 587-nucleotide ribosomal RNA is filed under the name uncultured bacterium. RNAcentral describes it as "partial 16S ribosomal RNA". It matches the Rfam family "Bacterial small subunit ribosomal RNA", at positions 355 to 1375 of the family's 1533-position model. The record is from RNAcentral.
UGGGGAAUUUUGGACAAUGGGGGAAACCCUGAUCCAGCCAUCCCGCGUGUGCGAUGAAGGCCUUCGGGUUGUAAAGCACUUUUGGCAGGAAAGAAACGUCGCGGGUUAAUACCCCGCGAAACUGACGGUACCUGCAGAAUAAGCACCGGCUAACUACGUGCCAGCAGCCGCGGUAAUACGUAGGGUGCAAGCGUUAAUCGGAAUUACUGGGCGUAAAGCGUGCGCAGGCGGUUCGGAAAGAAAGAUGUGAAAUCCCAGAGCUUAACUUUGGAACUGCAUUUUUAACUACCGGGCUAGAGUGUGUCAGAGGGAGGUGGAAUUCCGCGUGUAGCAGUGAAAUGCGUAGAUAUGCGGAGGAACACCGAUGGCGAAGGCAGCCUCCUGGGAUAACACUGACGCUCAUGCACGAAAGCGUGGGGAGCAAACAGGAUUAGAUACCCUGGUAGUCCACGCCCUAAAACGAUGUCAACUAGCUGUUGGGGCCUUCGGGCCUUGGUAGCGCAGCUAACGCGUGAAGUUGACCGCCUGGGGAGUACGGUCGCAAGAUUAAAAACUCAAAGGAAUUGACGGGGUCAUAGCUGUUUCCU